UACGGGGGGAGCAAGCGUUGUUCGGAUUUACUGGGCGUAAAGGGCGCGUAGGCGGCCACCGCAAGUCGACUGUGAAAUCUCCGGGCUUAACCCGGAAAGGUCAGCCGAUACUGCGGGGCUAGAGUGCAGAAGGGGCAACUGGAAUUCUUGGUGUAGCGGUGAAAUGCGUAGAUAUCGAGAGGAACACCUGCGGCGAAGGCGGGUUGCUGGGCUGACACUGACGCUGAGGCGCGAAAGCUAGGGGAGCAAACGGG
Molecule: ribosomal RNA, 254 nt
Filed under: uncultured bacterium
Lineage: Bacteria
Description: partial 16S ribosomal RNA
Rfam family: Bacterial small subunit ribosomal RNA
Source: RNAcentral